UUCCGUGUAAGUGUUGCUACUUUUCUAAAUCAAUUAAAAUAAAACAUGCUCCAGCAAAAGAAAAGAAAAUAUGUGUGUUGCACUCUUCCAGCAAUCAAAUCACCGUGUUGAACUACCCAUAAUCCAUCACCGUUUUUCUCCCCAAAAAAAGUUCAGCUCUCACCAAAAAUCAAAAGAAAGAGUAAAUGUGCACAUUUCAUUCAACCAAUGCAAAGCAGCGUAAUUUUUCCAAGCUCUCUCCUCUCAAACACGUUUAAAGAAAAAGCCUAAAAGAAAAGGAAAUGAGUGUGGUUGUUGGAAGGUACGUAAGGCUGUGAGCUUUCCCUUCUCAUUCAUCCAAAAUCACCUAAUAAAACCAUUUUUCCAGAGAAAACCCGUGCCUAGUGAAGUGUGUCGGUUGUGUCUUUACAGCCAAUAUAACAGUCUUUUUCUCUAGUGUGGCGGCUGACGUUUUUAAGGAAGCAAUCCUGAGACUCUCUAUGUUACCCUACUGCCAGCAUGGAUUGGCUAGACCUACCCUUCAAUUCUUUUCUUCGAGAACAUCCUCUUUUUGCUGGAUGCAACCCCAUCAUGUACUGGACUGGGUGGAAAAUGUUGGAGCAGAAGUUUAGUUGUGUGCGUGGAGGUGUGAAGACUGCUGGACCGUGGCUUCAUGGGCUGCUGCUGUCUUCAAAACCUGCUGGACCAGUUGCAACCAAGGCUCGCUGGUGGGUGUAGGGCCAUGAACGUGCUGCAAUCCUUAAGCAUCUGGAUGAAGAAAAAUCAAUGGGUUACUGCUGUGUGCAUGACUAAAAGUUUGGGCGUUGCAGCUUCUUCUUGAAGCACCCUUUGUUGCCACCGUGGUGCUUGCGGGAUGGAUGUUUCUUUGUUGUUGUUGGGCCGUGUUUGUUCCUUCACGGGUUGUAGCUGAACGUGGAGCCUUGGAUUGAAGAAUGGAGUUGGUGGAUGCACCUCCCAAAUCCAAGCAUACACCUCCUUGGCAGCUGCAGCUGGAUCUCUUCCCUUUGGGUCGUGGACUACUUCUCCAAGAUUCAUUGCUCAUGCCUAAUGCUGGAUGCUGGACCUGCAGGAUGUGCAACCAUUUUAUAUGAUGUUCAACUCUUUAAUUCCUUGUUGGACCGUGGUAUAUUUUUUCUUCAGCCCGUGAGCCUCACUUCUGUUCCAGCUCUUUCCAAUUGAAGCAAAAAUAAUUCAAUCCGCGGGCCCUGUAACAGCAUGCAACAGCGUGUUGAUUUUCCAUGCCUUGUUGGAUUGUGUGUGGGACGCUGCACCUCCUUUGCUUAGGCCAUGAUUUGCUUUUUUCUUCUAUCAUCCCAAAUGUGUGUUGCUACUGUGUGCACCUUUAGCUCCUCUCUAAGCGUGUUGUUGCCCAAGCCUCAUGGGUCCCAAAAUUGAAGAAUGGAUGACCGCUUGACCAGUGACACAAAUGAAACCAACUCUAUAUUAAUCAACAUUAUUAAUCACGUGUUGCCC
This 1473-nucleotide long non-coding RNA is filed under the name Vigna radiata. RNAcentral's name for it is "long non-coding RNA (VRAD_LNC013816)". Lineage: Eukaryota; Viridiplantae; Streptophyta; Magnoliopsida; Fabales; Fabaceae. The record is from RNAcentral.